AAGUCGUAACAAGGUUUCCGUAGGUGAACCUGCGGAAGGAUCAUUACCGAGAUAGGGUCCUUCGGGGCCCGAACCUCCCACCCUUUGUCUAUAUAACCUUUGUUGCCUCGGCGGGCCGAUGAUGCGCCUAGAAAUAGGCCUCGCCAUCGGCUCUUUCGGCCCUUGAGUGCCCGCCGAUGGGAUAUCAUAAACCCUUUUGAAAUCAGCAGUCUGAGUGAAAUUAUAAUACUUCAAAACUUUCAACAACGGAUCUCUUGGUUCUG
RNAcentral lists this unclassified non-coding RNA (263 nucleotides) under air metagenome. RNAcentral's name for it is "partial contains small subunit ribosomal RNA, internal transcribed spacer 1, and 5.8S ribosomal RNA". The stretch from base 1 to 46 matches the Rfam family "Eukaryotic small subunit ribosomal RNA", at positions 1786 to 1831 of the family's 1831-position model. The record is from RNAcentral.